AACACUGUUAACCUGCGGUACCUGCGGAAGGAUCAUUAUUGAAUGAAUUUAGAGUUGGUUGUUGCUGGCUUUCGGGCAUGUGCACACCUUCUCUUUCAUCCACACACACCUGUGCACUUGUGAGACAGGAAAGAGGGCCUUAAUUGGCUUUUUUUUUUCCUGUCUACUUAAUUACACAAACUCAUUUAUUUUAAACUGAAUGUAAUUGAUGUAACACAUCAUAAUUAAAUACUAACUUUC
This 240-nucleotide unclassified non-coding RNA is filed under the name soil metagenome. Its description in RNAcentral is "partial contains 5.8S ribosomal RNA, internal transcribed spacer 2, and large subunit ribosomal RNA". The record is from RNAcentral.